Non-coding RNA from Myotis davidii, 75 nucleotides. The record is from Rfam. Lineage: Eukaryota; Metazoa; Chordata; Mammalia; Chiroptera; Vespertilionidae.
GGUGGUUUUCAGGUGACACACCCUGGAAUCAGGUUCCCUCCUCUCUGGUUCCGGGUGUAUCAACUGAGAAAUGCA